Long non-coding RNA from Dendroctonus ponderosae (mountain pine beetle), 2938 nucleotides. RefSeq lists it as uncharacterized. NCBI's taxonomy places the organism in Eukaryota, Metazoa, Arthropoda, Insecta, Coleoptera, Curculionidae. The record is from RefSeq and is a predicted model, not a curated record. The transcript is spliced from 3 exons.
UUAAUCAUCACUGUAAUCAGCAGCACGUCUUUAUGUAUGAUCAGCAGUUGCCAUAUAACAAGAAUUUUGCUGCAUUGCAUUUUACUGCUUGCAGAACUCGUGUUAAACUCGAUUUUGCUAGUGAUCUUGUGAUUCUUUCAUAGUUUGUUGUUCAUACUAUAAGUUGUGCUUAAAAUAUAAAUAACUAGAGGAAAAGAUACCACUGACUUAUUUAUCUUUUGCUUCACAUCAUGCCUUGACUUUAUUAUAAAAAAUGUGCAUUUUUGUCGUGCGAAAAUCGUAACGAGAAUCCGGAUGUGAGGUUCCACAUGUUUCCUCAUGGUGCGAUUAUGUUUCAACACUGGAUGGACGUUGUGAAUAAUCCAGCAUUGUCUAAAUUAGCUCAUACUACUGUUAGAAGGUGUUAUUCGGUAUGCAAUAACCAUGUUAUAGUAUCUCAAUUUCAAACUCCCGAAAGGAAGACGCUACUGACAAAAGCUAUUUCCAAAAGUUUUAUAGCUCCUUCUAACAUUUGCAUGCCACCCAGACUUUAGGUACCUACUAUGUUGUAUAUUUUUUCUUAAUUUUAUGACAAAAAGCCAAUUAAAUAAAAACUAUAUAUUUAUUACAUGGUUAGGAAAAAUGAAACUUAGAAUUAGUAGUUAGUAGCCAUAGGCAUGUUUACCUUUUUUUUGCAAAAUUUUACUAACAAAAUUAACUGAAUUUAAUAUGUUGUACCACAGUACUAACAUGCAAAUAAACUGAAAUUUCUUAUCUUUCUUGGUAAAGAUGUAGCCAGAUUUUUCACAGAAUUGUCAAAAUUAUUUCCAGAUAAUAUUUCAUAGAGAGUAUCAUAUAUUCCUCCCAAUUGAAACCUUAGAAGACUAAUUGCAUCAAUUCGGCUAGACCAUUUUUCUUAGUGGUGUUUGCUGCGUUCGUGUGGUAAAAUCGUUUUUCUCUCAUAUUUUGCUCAUUUAAAGUUGACCAAUUUCGAGGCCAUUUAAUCAACUUUUUGUUUUUUCAGUUUCAUUUCUCUAACUAAUAAUUUUAGGUUAGUUUGGCCUAGAAUUUUCUUUCCUUUUCAGUAAAAUAACACAAUUUUCCAAAACUAUGCUAUCUAAUGACAGUGCCCAAGCUAGAAACGUAAUUUUCCAAUGUGGCCAAGGUCAGUUGAAGUUAAAUGUAUUUUAUUGAAAAGGAAAGAAAAUGGGAACCCGAACUAACCCAGAAUGACUAGUUACACACAUAUGGUGCGCGUUGAGGUACCAUGCGUUUCGUCCCGGGCCUACCUAUUGGACUCGUCAGUAAGGCUUAGGUAGACCCUGCCUUAGACGCCGGUUACGGAACAUAGGUUGGAAGUUCUAUUUGAACCGAAACGCCACAGAUGUUAUGCGGUGAGAUAUAUGCUGGCAUUUGAAAUGGUGCUUAGGUGCUGCCACCUGUGAGUCGGUGAAUGAAGCUGCAUAUGAUCCACCACACAUAUAUGAGACUUUCAAAAAUACAAAAUCGAACAAGAAGUGUAUUAAAUGGCCUCAAAAUAGGUAAACUUUAAAUGAGUGAAAAUUUAUAGAACAACGAUUUUCCGCAGCAAACACCACUAAGAAAAAGUGUUAGUAAAGGAUUAUCUACAAGGUAACCAAAGUGAAAAUUCUCCGCCGUAAUAGUGACAGAACUAGCAAAUGACACAAUAAUAAGUAUCUACACCAUCUAGAUUAUUUUAAUGUCUGUAAGAUAUUAAAAAAAAAAUUCUAAUCAAGUAUUAUGUAUGUAAAUAAGUAAAUUUUAGUAAAUUCGCUUACCUAGCUUAUUUUUCGUCUUAUUUUGGAACUAAACGCUAAAUAUAGAACAAGUUACUUUUUCCGCGAGAAGCCGGAUAAUUGAGCGAUCGAUCGAAGAACGUGAGAAAUUCGAACUAGCAGAAAGCAGUCUAAGUAUUAGAUCUGCUAGAGUCGAUUCAGUGUGCGUACGGCUUUCAACAAUAGAGUAUUGUUUCGCCGGGAUGAAUGUGGGCUUUGAAGAACCACACGUCGUACAAGGAGUUGUGAGAAAAUUUUUAAAUGAUAACACCGCCGCGGCGCCUUUUGACUUUUGGCGCCGUCGGGAAGUGCACGCCUUCGCACUAAUGGACGGCGCGGCUCUGAUCGGAGACAUCCUCACACAGGUAUAGAAACUUCUCACGAUGAUUCUACUUCUGUCGAACGGGAACAAGAAUCAAUGCUUUUUCGAUGCCUACGCCUAAUGUAGAUAGUGGAAUCGGUUUACCGCUGCAUGUGAGAAGCAAAUUGCUUGAUUCGAUUGGAGUAACCAGCAGGAACAAAAUGACUCCAACAAAAUGACUCCAAGGAAACAACUUCUAUUUCACAAGCUAUGCAGCAUGAGGAGGACAUUGAAACGUUAUGAGCGUAAUUUGAAGAGUUGCAGGAAAGACGUGUUUGGGGUAAAGAAUGUAAGUAAUCUUUUAAACAAUAAAACUUAUAAUUGUUUAGAAGAUAUAUGAUAGAAGACCGUGGGCGCAGACAUUUUUCCUAUUGCAGCUACGUCAAAAAGGUUUAAUAGAAUUCUUAAACAUUUCAAAAAUUUGUUCCCUUUGCAUGACGAAUAUAUGUAAUAAUACGGCAGUUUCGGAAUGUAUUAUUUAUAAUAUGUGAAAAUAUAUUUUGCUUCUAAUAAAUCGAAAAUUAAGCCUCAGAAAGAUAGCCGCGACAAUGCUAUAGUGGAUCAAUGCAUCCAAAAAUUUGCACCAAAUGGUAUAAGUAAUUUUUGUAUUAUUAUUUUAUAGAAAGGCAGAUUUUGACAUCAAUAAUUUUGUUUAUUUGUUCCUUUUACAUGCUUUUGAAGUUUUUACUUUUACUUGUUUAUCAUUUAUACGUCUGUUUGUUCUGUUUCUGUUAUAUAUGUUGAUUGUUUAUAGGGUGUACUUUGUUCUUUCCUAUUUCUGUUAUUAUAAAUAUGUUUAUCA